This 303-nucleotide long non-coding RNA is filed under the name Nicotiana benthamiana. Its description in RNAcentral is "long non-coding RNA (NBEN_LNC016847)". Lineage: Eukaryota; Viridiplantae; Streptophyta; Magnoliopsida; Solanales; Solanaceae. The record is from RNAcentral.
AUCUUUUCCUAGACAUGACAGAACCUAAAGAAGCUAGAUUUCCAGCCUAUGGCUGUGAAAAAGUUCAUGCCACUUAGAGAAUGUAGUAGCACUUCUCUUGAUGUAUAGAAAACUUUUUCUGUGACAUGCACCUUAAUAUCUUCUGCAGUAUUUCAUUUGCUUUUACUCCACUUUAGCACUUCUCUUAAUGUAUAGAAAACUUAUUCUGUGACAUGCACCUUAAUAUCUUCUGCAGUAUUUCAUUUGCUUUUACUCCACUUCCCCUAUAAAUGGGUUGACAUCUUCUUGUCCCGGUAGAACUCC